RNAcentral lists this ribosomal RNA (301 nucleotides) under uncultured bacterium. RNAcentral's name for it is "partial 16S ribosomal RNA". It matches the Rfam family "Bacterial small subunit ribosomal RNA", at positions 509 to 807 of the family's 1533-position model. The record is from RNAcentral.
CAGCAGCCGCGGUAAAACGUAGGGUGCGAGCGUUAAUCGGAAUUACUGGGCGUAAAGGGUGAGUAGGUGGUGGUUUAAGUCCGUUGUGAAAGCCCUGGGCUCAACCUGGGAAUUGCAGUGGAUACUGGAUCACUAGAGUGUGUCAGAGGAUGGUGGAAUUCCCGGUGUAGCGGUGAAAUGCGUAGAGAUCGGGAGGAACAUCAGUGGCGAAGGCGGCCAUCUGGGACAACACUGACGCUGAGGCACGAAAGCGUGGGGAGCAAACAGGAUUAGAUACCCGCGUAGUCCCUGUCUCUUAUAC